GCGAGUCUUUGGGUCUGCCACGUAGCAGCUAAACCCGAACACGGCGCAAUGAAAGUAAAGGCACGUCCGCAACGCGCGGAGGGUUUAAACUCGCGUGGGUUUUUAACUCGCGCGGGGGGCCCUCUCGUCGCCUGCGACGGCUGAGGCGGGAUCCUCGUGGCGUAGAAAUGUAAAACACACGAGCUUAGCGGUGAGCUUCCUCCCUUUUGCCCGACACCCGUCGCUUCCGGCGGCGGUGAGGGUUUGGGGGGCGGCGUUUGGAGCCGCGGCCGCGUCACUUAACCGGGCACGUUUGACACGGUUUUCGGCGGACGUUCCCCCACUUCCCGCAAGGAACGGGCGCUCUUCGUUUCCCUCUUUUAACGUCGCUCGCACGCCACUAGAGCGGCGGAGGGUUUCAAAAAGGAGAUGUCUCGCUCGGGGGUGAUUGCUUGACACGGGGCACAAACGCGUCCGAUUUCCGACGGCCCGGAGGCGCACCGCCGGCCCGCUUUGACCGCCCUCGGUGUUCUUCUCCUGCGUCCAGCGGCCCUUUUUCCGCCUCCCUUUUUCCCUCCCUCACGGGGGGGUCGGGGUCGUCGGUUGGGGUGACAAGCAGCGCAGGAAGCCCGAAAGUCGGUGAAGCGGAGCAAGAGCACACACGUUGGGACCCGAAAGAUGGUGAACUAUGCCCGGGCAGGACGAGGCCAGAGGAAACUCUGGUGGAGGUCCGUAGCGAUUCUGACGUGCAAAUCGAUCGUCGGACCUGGGUAUAGGGGCGAAAGACUAAUCGAACCAUCUAGUAGCUGGUUCCCUCCGAAGUUUCCCUCAGGAUAGCUGGUGCUCGGGAAAUUCAGUUUCAUCCGGUAAAGCGAAUGAUUAGAGGCCUUGGGGCCGAAACGACCUCAACCUAUUCUCAAACUUUCAAUGGGUGAGAAGUCCGGCUUGCUUAAAAGGCACGAUUGCCCGGCUCGUCACGCUCGAACCUCGAAUGCCUCUAGAGUGCGUAGAGCGGUCGCCGGUGUUUCUCUCGUGUUUGAAGCACGGACGACGAAUGAGAGUGCCCAGUGGGCCACUUUUGGUAAGCAGAACUGGCGCUGUGGGAUGAACCAAACGCCGGGUUACGGCGCCCAAUGCAGACGCUCAUCAGAGCCCAUGAAAGGUGUUGGUUGCUAUUGACAGCAGGACGGUGGCCAUGGAAGUCGGAANNNNNNNNNNNNNNNNNNNNNNNNNNNNNNNUUCCAUGUGACCAGCAGUCGAACAUGAGUCAGUCGUCCGUAAGGAAUAGGGGAAACCCGUUCCGAAAGUCGGGGAGUUUGUGUGCGUGCGUGUGUGUGUAGUGUGCGUUCGUUCGGUUGACCGGCGGGCGCAUUCCAUCACUCGUCACAUUACUAUCUCUCUCCUCGGCGCCGCCGCUCUAAAAAGCAGCAGCAACAGUGUAGCCAAAUGGCACGUCCUCUGAAUAGGGACGCUGUGCGAGAUUCUGUGUGGUGGCGUCCGGUGGUGUUUGUGUGCGUGUGCAGUGGUGGUGUUGUCGUGCAAGCAUGCUCGUGCGUGCGUUCGCGCGUGGUGGUGGUGGUGGUGGUAAUAACUGCUGCUGCUGCUGCUUCCGCGUUCGUACUGUUCGCGUGCCGAAUCGAUGACAUCCCAUAACAAAAUCACGUUUUGCAGUGCCCCGACGUACCGAAAGGGAAUCGGGUUAAUAUUCCCGAACCAGUAUGCGGAGAUCGCCCCUCGCGGGGCCGAAGCGGUAACGCCUAAACGAACUCGGAGACGUCGGCGGGAGUCCCGGGAAGAGUUUUCUUUUCUUUGUAAGGGACUGAGUCCAUGGAAUCGGCUCGACCGGAGAUAUGGAUGUUGUCCCCGUAAAGCACCGCGGCUCUUGCGGUGUCCGGUGCACUCUCGUCGGCCCUUGAAAAUCCGAGGGAGAGACAAUGAUUUCCGCAACUGGCCGUACCCAUAUCCGCAGCAGGUCUCCAAGGUGAACAGCCUCUAUUCGAUAGAAC
This 1985-nucleotide ribosomal RNA is filed under the name Pectiniunguis argentinensis. RNAcentral describes it as "eukaryotic LSU rRNA". The stretch from base 590 to 1977 matches the Rfam family "Eukaryotic large subunit ribosomal RNA", at positions 665 to 1888 of the family's 3401-position model. The record is from RNAcentral. Lineage: Eukaryota; Metazoa; Arthropoda; Chilopoda; Geophilomorpha; Schendylidae.